GGCGAAAAGAACCCCGGGAGGGGAGUGAAAUAGAUCCUGAAACCGUGUGCAUACAAACAGUAGGAGCCUCCUUGUGGGGUGACUGCGUACCUUUUGUAUAAUGGGUCAGCGACUUACAUUCAGUGGCGAGGUUAACCGCAUAGGGAAGCCGUAGAGAAAUCGAGUCCGAACAGGGCGAUAGUCGCUGGGUGUAGACCCGAAACCAAGUGAUCUACUCAUGGCCAGGAUGAAGGUGCGGUAACACGCACUGGAGGU
RNAcentral lists this ribosomal RNA (255 nucleotides) under Duganella lactea. RNAcentral's name for it is "partial 23S ribosomal RNA". It matches the Rfam family "Bacterial large subunit ribosomal RNA", at positions 513 to 773 of the family's 2925-position model. The record is from RNAcentral. Lineage: Bacteria; Pseudomonadati; Pseudomonadota; Betaproteobacteria; Burkholderiales; Oxalobacteraceae.